UUGCUCUUCAACGAGGAAUACCUAGUAAGCGUGAGUCAUCAGCUCGCGUUGAAUUCGUCCCUGCCCUUUGUACACACCGCCCGUCGCUACUACCGAUUGAAUGGCUUAGUGAGGUAUCCGGAUUGGCAUCUGGGAGCCGGAAACGGCACCUAGUCGCUGAGAAGUUUAACGAACUUGGUCAUUUAGAGGAAGUAAAAGCCGUAACAAGGUUUCCGUAGGUGAACCUGCGGAAGGAUCAUUAAUGAAAUGUUAGGACGCUCUUUUUAGAGGUCCGACCAACUCAUUUUACCUUUCACACUGUGCACAUCACUACUUUUUUACACCCAUUUUUAAACACUUAUAAAGUCUAAGAAUGUAAACCAGUCUCUUAAUUGAGCAUAAACAUAAACAAAACUUUCAGCAACGGAUCUCUUGGCUCUCCCAUCGAUGAAGAACGCAGCGAAAUGCGAUACGUAAUGUGAAUUGCAGAAUUCAGUGAAUCAUCGAAUCUUUGAACGCACCUUGCACUCUUUGGUAUUCCGAAGAGUAUGUCUGUUUGAGUGUCAUGAAACUCUCAACCCCCUUGUUUUGUAAUGAAACGAGUUGUGGGCUUGGAUUAUGGCUGCUGCCGGCUUUCGUUAGUCGACUCGGCUCAAAUACACGAGCUACCCCGAUUUCUAUUAAGAAACAGACGGUUCGACUCGGCGUAAUAACUAUUUCGCUGAGGACGUCACAUUCUUAUGUAUACAGAAUCUUAGUGGUGCUUCUAAUGCGUCUGUUCAGUCAGACAACCUUAAGCUUUAGACCUCAAAUCAGUCAGGACUACCCGCUGAACUUAAGCAUAUCAAUAAGCGGAGGA
RNAcentral lists this ribosomal RNA (838 nucleotides) under uncultured fungus. RNAcentral's name for it is "eukaryotic LSU rRNA". The stretch from base 1 to 241 matches the Rfam family "Eukaryotic small subunit ribosomal RNA", at positions 1593 to 1831 of the family's 1831-position model. Lineage: Eukaryota; Fungi. The record is from RNAcentral.